This 5585-nucleotide long non-coding RNA is filed under the name Sus scrofa (pig). Its description in RNAcentral is "lncRNA (ENSSSCG00065020800.1)". Lineage: Eukaryota; Metazoa; Chordata; Mammalia; Artiodactyla; Suidae. The record is from RNAcentral.
CAAAACUGUGAGCUUUUCAUUCCUCCCAUGUUCAGUCUUUCCCCAAGCAAGACUGAAACCCUGCAGCCCUUCUUGGGUCACCAACAGGCUUACAGCCCACCUCCAGUCAUGGUCACUGAGAUGCCAGAGAAGCCACAGCCACAAGGCAGAAAGAAUUGAUCUGUUGUCUCAUGCUUCAGAUAUGAACUCCCUCUUGGAGAAAGUCAAGUUUUACUUUGAACCUUUUCUCUCAACCUCAUUGCUCAAGUUUGCUUUGAAAAGUCCUUGCAACUUCCUCUUGGUCCCUGCAAACCACAGAAUUACAGGCUGCUAGCACUAGAAUAGGCUUUCAGGGGCAUCUGGCUCAUCACACCCUCUUUGGAGGAGUGUGAGAAACAGUGGGGUUAGUGUGAGGAGUCAGAAGACGUGGGCCCCUCACAAACCACUGAUGACGUCAAAAGAGUUCAUCCACCUCUCCCAGACUGUUUCCAAGGGAGAAAGCAGGUGACUGUGACCUACUCACAGGGCCAGCUGAGAGUUAAAUGAGAUAAGGUGAACAAAUGUGCUCUGGAAUGAAAGCACCCUAUGAAUGCUGAGAUUUUGACGGUCCUCAGCAUCACAGAAAACUAGAGGCCAGUGUCAGAGCAGAAGCACUGGAAGUAGAAAGAGGGGAAUGGGUGACAUUUUUUGGCCACUCAAGAGCUAGAAUUAAUUUAAGGAAAGAAAUGAUGUUUUGGACCAUCAUCAUCCAGGCAAGAAAGGACAAUAGAUAGUAACUUGAUCUAAUAUUAUGAUCAUGAUUUUCAAAAGUAAACAAAUGCAGAGUUCCCUUUGUGGCUCAGUGGGUUAAGAACCUGACAUUGUCUCCAUGAGCAUGCGGGUUUGAUCCUUGUCCUCAUUCAUUGGGUUAAGGACCUCACGUUGCUGCAAGCUGUGGCACAGGUCUCAGAUGUGACUCAGACCCAGGGUUGUUGUGACUGUGGCACAGGCCUCAGCUGCAGCUCCAAUUCAACCCUGGGAACUUCCAUAUCCCUCAGGUGCAUCCAUAAAAGGGAAAAAAAAGUGGACAAAUGUAAAAAUAUUUAUGAAGCAAAAUUAUCAGGCAGCGUCCAUCAGCAGAUGAAUGGAUAAAGAAAAUGUGAGGUAUAUACAUAUGCAAUGGAAUACUAUUCAACCAUAAAAAGAAGGAAAUUCUAAUAUUACUCAGCCAUAAAAAAGAACAAAAAAAUGCCAUUUGCAGCAACAUGGAUGGAACUAGAGACUCUCAUACUAAGUGAAGUAAGUCAGAAAGAGAAAGACAAAUACCAUAUGAUUUCACUUAUAUCUGGAAUCUAAUAUAUGGCACAAAUGAAACUUUCCACAGAAAAUAAAAUCAUGGACAUGGAGAACAGACUUGUGGCUGCCAAGGCAGAGGGGGAGGGAGUAGGAGGAACUGGGAAUUUGGGGUUAAUAGAUGCAAACUACAGCCUUUGGAAUGGAUAAGCAAUGGGAUCCUGCUGUAUAGUACUGGGAUCUAUGUCUGGUCACUUGCGAUGGAGCAUGAUAAUGUGACAAAAAAGAAUUUAUACAUGUAUGUGUGACUGGGUCACCUUGCCAUGCAGCAGAAAAUUGAGAGAACACUAUAAAUUAGCUAUAAUGGAAAAAAUAAAAAUCAUUAUAAAAAAAAGGAAUUUCUGCCAUUUGUGACAACAUGGAUAGACCUGCUAAAUUAUGCUAAAUGAAUAACUCAGGCAGAGAAAGACAAAUACUGUAUGAUCUCAUAUAUUUGUAGAAUCUAAAAAAAAAAAACACCUAAACUCAUAAAAAAGAGAGAUCAGAUUUGUGGUUACCAGAAGGAGGGUAAGGUGCAGGGGAAUGGGAUGAUGGUAAUCAAAAGGUACAAAUUUCCAGUUAAAAGUAAAUAAGUUGAGGGAUAUAAUGUAUAAGUGAGUAAUAUAAUUAACAGUGCUGUAUGUUAUAUAUGAAAAUUGAUUAGAGAGUAAAUCUUAAGAGUCCUCAUCACACAAAUGCUUUUGUAAUUAUAUGAGAUGGAUGUUAACUAAGCUUACUAACAGUUUGAUGUUAACUAAUUGUUUUGAAAUAUAUGUAUGUCAUUAUGCUGUAUUCUGUAAACAUAUAUAGCAAGUUGUUAUGCUGUAUGUCAGUGAUAUCUCAAUAAAAAUGAAAAAAAAAUCAUCAGGGCCAAGUGAUGGCUUGGAGAUGGGAAGAGGGAGGGAGGGGGCAUGUUCAGGGUGACAUUUCUGGCUUAUUUAACUAGAGAUAAGAAACACCAGAAAAGAUUCAAGUGGGUGAGAACACAGAAGAGGGAUUACAAGUUUGCUUUUGACUGUUUUGAGUUUGAGGUGCCUUUGGGACACCCAAGCAAAUAUAUCAUAUAGGCAGGCUAUUGAAACUGAGAGAUUAUGUGUAGCUCAAGAUGUAAAAUGUUAAGUAUAUCAGACAUGGGAUUAAGAUGGCAGAAUAGAAGGACUAGAGCUCACCUUCUUUCAUAAAAACAACAAAAUUACAACCAAAUGCUGAACAACCUUCAACCAAAUUGACUGGAAACUUUCUGAAAGAUAUCCUAUUCCAGAAAACAAAGAGGAGGCGAUAUCAAGAAGUAGUAGGGGUGAUUACACUAUAUAAGCAACACCAUACCUGCCAGGGUGGCCCAGAGACUGGAAAAUAACUGUAUCACAGAAACUCACCUACAGGAGUGAAAGUUCUGAGCCCCAUGUCAGGUCCCCAUGCCUGGGGAUCUGCAAUUGGGAGAAAGAGCCCCCAGAGCAUCUGGCAUUGAAGGCCAGUGGGGCUUGUGUGCAGAAGCUCCACAGGACUGGGGGAAAUGGAGAUCCCACUCUUGAAAGGCACACACAAGAUUUCAUGGGCACUGGCUCCCAAGGCAAAGCAGAGGUUCCAUAGGAAUCUGGGUCAAACUUGACUGAAGUUCUUGGAGGAUCUCCUGAGAAUACAAGGGGUGACUGUGGCUCAUUGUGGGGGAGGACAUUGGAGGCCAAGCUCUCAGUAAUAUUCACCUGUGUGUGUUCCUCUAGAGGUGGCCAUUUUGGGAAAAUCUGGCCCCACCCAUCAGUUUUGAGAAGCCCCAGGCCAAACAAUAAUCCAGGUGGGAUCACAGCCCUACCCAUCAGUAAACAGGCUACCUAAAGACCCCCAGCCCCCAGGCACAUACCCACAUCUAAUCUCACCUAUAGAAAAAGUCCUGCCCACCAGAGGGACAGGAAUCAGCCCCACCUACCAGAGGGCAGUCCCUCCCAUCAGGAAGCCUACAGCAAGCCCCUGUACCAACUUCAGCCACAAGAGGGGCAGACAUCAGAAGUAAGAGAGGCUACAACUCUACUGUCUGCAAAAAAGACUAUACCAAAAAUCUAUAAAAAUGAAAAGGCAGAAAACCAUAACUCAGAUAAGGGAGCAAGAAAAAAAAACAGAAAAACAGCUACAUGAUCUAUAGAUUACCAGCCUUCAGGAAAAAAGACUUUAGAUUGAUGAUGCUAAAGAUGAUGCAAGACAUUGGAAAUAAACUGGAGGCAAAGAUUGGUAAUUUACAGCAAUCACUGAGCAAAGAAAUACAAGAUUUAAAACUUAAGCAAGCAGAGAUGCAAAAUACAACAACUGAAAUAAAAAAAAUUCAUUAGAAGCAACCAACAGCAGAAUACAGGAGGCAGGAGAAUGAGUAAGUGAGGUGGAGGACAGCCUAGUGGAAAUCACUGACAUGGAACAGAAAAGAGAAAAAAGAUUGAAAAGAAAUGAAGACAGUCUAAGAAAACUCUGGGACAACAUUAAAUACACCAAUAUCCAGAAGGAGAAGAGAGAGAGAAAGGGACAGAAAAAAAUAUUUGAAGAGAUAAGAGAAAACUUCCCUAACAUUGAAAAGGAACCACUCACUCGAAUCUAGGAAGCACAAUGAGUACCAUAUAAAAUAAACUCAAGGAGGAACACCCUGAGACACAUAUUAAUCAAACUGACCAAAAUUAAAGACAAAGAGCAAUACUGAAAGCAGCUAGGGAAAAUAAAUAAAUAACAUACAAGGGAACCCAGAUAAGGUUAUUGGCACAUUUUUAAGCAGAAACUCUGCAGGCCAGAAGGGAGUGGCACCAUAUACUUAAGCUGAUAAAAGGAAAGAACCUCUGACCAAGAUUACUUUAUCCAGCAAGGCUCUCAUCCAUAUUUCAAGGAAAAAUCAAAAGUUUUACAGAUAAGCAAAAGCUAAGAGAAUUCAGAAACACUAGACCAACUUCACAACAAAUAUUAAAGUAACUUCUCUAGGCAGAAAAGAAAAGGCCACAAGAAGAAACAAAAAUAACACAAAUGACAAGACUUACCAGUAAAGGCAUAUAUCUAGUAAAGGUAGGAAAUCAUCCACGCACAAAUAUGCUAACAAAAUCAGAAAUAAUGAGAAAAGGAGGGUACAAAUGCAGGACACUGGAGAUGCACUUGCAAUUAAGAGACCAAAAACUUAUAACAAUCUCGUGUAUAUAUAUAUAGACUCCUAUAUCAAAACUUCAGGGUAACUUCAAACCUACAGUUUGCAAAUCUACAAUUGAUAUACACACACAUAAGAAAAAUCAACUGAAAUGCAACACUAAAGAUAGUCAACACACCACAAGAGGAGAGAACAAGAGAAGAAGGGAAGAAAAAGGAGCAUCAAAAACAAAUCCAAAAUAGUUAAUAAAAUGUCAAUAAGAACAUACAUAUCAAUAAUUUCCAUAAAUGUAUAUGGACAAAAUGCCCCAACCAAAAGACAUGGAUUGGCUGAAUGGAUACAAAAACAAGAUCCCUAUAUAUGCUGUCUUCAAGGGAUCCACUUCAUUUCUAGGGACACAUACAAAUGAAAGUGAGAGGAUGGAAGAAAAUAUUCCAUGCCAUUAGGCAUCCAAAGAAAGCUGGAGUAGUAAUACUUAUAUCAGACAAAAUAGACCUUAAAAUAAAGAAUAUUUGUAUGUUUGGUAGAAUUCUCCUGUGAAGCCAUCUGGUCCUGGACUUUUAUUUGUAGGGAGUGUUUUUAUGACAUAUUCAAUUUCAUUUCUAGUGAUCAGUCUGUUCAGUUGAUCUAUUUCUCCUUGAUUCAGUUUUAGCAGGCUGUAGGUCUCUAGAAAGAUGUCCAUUUCUUACCAAGGAGUUAAAGGACUUAUAUGCUGAGAACUAUAAAACAUUAAUCAAGAAAAUUAAAGAAGAUAUAAAGAAAUGGAAAGAUAUUCCAUGCUACUGGGUUGGAAAAAUUAACAUUGUAAAAAUAGCCAUACUACCCAGAGCAAGCUACAGAUUCAAAGCAAUCCCUAUCAAAUUACCCAUGACAAGUUUCACAAAACUAGAAAAAACAAUCCAAAAUUAAUAUGGACCCACAAAAGACUCAGAAUUGCCAAAGAAAUUCUGAGGAACAAAAACCAAGCAGGAGGUAUAACUGUCCCAGACUUCAGGCAAUAUUACAAAGCCACAGUCAUAAAGACAGUGUAGUACUGGUACCAAAACAGACAGACCAAAGGAACAGAAUAGAGAACCCAUAAAUAAACCCAGACACCUAAGGUCAAUUAAUCUUUGACAAAGAAGGAAAGAACAUAAAAUGGGAAAAAGACAGUCUUUUCAGCAGGUAUUGCUGGGAACCUGGACAG